This 298-nucleotide long non-coding RNA is filed under the name Gallus gallus (chicken). RNAcentral describes it as "long non-coding RNA NONGGAT001203". The record is from RNAcentral. Lineage: Eukaryota; Metazoa; Chordata; Aves; Galliformes; Phasianidae.
GGUGGGACAGAACCAGGACAGCUGACCCAAAAUGUCCAAAGGAAUAUCCUAUACCAUAUGACAUAGUUCUGACAAUAAAACUGGGAGACUGAGUGAGCUGUGUCGUGCUGAGCUGCCUGCCAGGGUUAAACCACAGCAGUAGUGCACCCAACAGAGGACUGGAAGAGUUUGAGAUUAUGACAGAUUUGACUGGAGUAUGGAGCGUGCUACACCAAAUGCAUAGUUGUUAUACUCUUCAGCUGCUAAUUGGUAUGCUCCCGCAGUUUUCCUGGGUCUUGCUUGCCUUACUGUAUUUUGG